UACUCCUACGGGAGGCAGCAGUAGGGAAUCUUCGGCAAUGGACGGAAGUCUGACCGAGCAACGCCGCGUGAGUGAAGAAGGUUUUCGGAUCGUAAAGCUCUGUUGUAAGAGAAGAACGAGUGUGAGAGUGGAAAGUUCACACUGUGACGGUAUCUUACCAGAAAGGGACGGCUAACUACGUGCCAGCAGCCGCGGUAAUACGUAGGUCCCGAGCGUUAUCCGGAUUUAUUGGGCGUAAAGCGAGCGCAGGCGGUUAGAUAAGUCUGAAGUUAAAGGCUGUGGCUUAACCAUAGUACGCUUUGGAAACUGUUUAACUUGAGUGCAAGAGGGGAGAGUGGAAUUCCAUGUGUAGCGGUGAAAUGCGUAGAUAUAUGGAGGAACACCGGUGGCGAAAGCGGCUCUCUGGCUUGUAAUUGACGCUGAGGCUCGAAAGCGUGGGGAGCAAACAGGAUUAGAUACCCUGGUAGUCCACGCCGUAAACGAUGAGUGCUAGGUGUUAGACCCUUUCCGGGGUUUAGUGCCGUAGCUAACGCAUUAAGCACUCCGCCUGGGGAGUACGACCGCAAGGUUGAAACUCAAAUGAAUUGACGGA
This 592-nucleotide ribosomal RNA is filed under the name uncultured bacterium. RNAcentral's name for it is "bacterial SSU rRNA". It matches the Rfam family "Bacterial small subunit ribosomal RNA", at positions 334 to 917 of the family's 1533-position model. The record is from RNAcentral.